RNAcentral lists this transfer RNA (73 nucleotides) under Dermatophagoides pteronyssinus (European house dust mite). Its description in RNAcentral is "tRNA-Arg". It matches the Rfam family "tRNA". Rfam says of the family: Transfer RNA (tRNA) molecules are approximately 80 nucleotides in length. The record is from RNAcentral. Lineage: Eukaryota; Metazoa; Arthropoda; Arachnida; Sarcoptiformes; Pyroglyphidae.
GCCUCUGUGGCCUAAUGGAUAAGGCAUCGGUCUCCUAAACCGGGGAUUGCGGGUUCGAGUCCCGCCAGAGGCC